CUGCUUACCCCGCGUCCUUGCGCGGCUCGGCUCGUUCUUCGAGCCCUGCUUCCCCCUUCCCCCUCUCCCCGUUUACCGUCCAAAACAGGCCGUAUGGAGUAUAGCCAAGUGGUAAGGCAUCGGUUUUUGGUACCGGCAUGCAAAGGUUCGAAUCCUUUUACUCCAGAUUAUGAACACCCGAUCGGAUCUGUCAAAAACGAGCUGACGACUACAGGGGAAGCGGCUGACUGCAGUCCCUGAGCCCAGC
This 247-nucleotide transfer RNA is filed under the name Helianthus annuus (common sunflower). Its description in RNAcentral is "hypothetical non coding rna". The stretch from base 95 to 166 matches the Rfam family "tRNA". Lineage: Eukaryota; Viridiplantae; Streptophyta; Magnoliopsida; Asterales; Asteraceae. The record is from RNAcentral.